RNAcentral lists this long non-coding RNA (2317 nucleotides) under Citrus x clementina. RNAcentral describes it as "Citrus clementina (C. clementina) long non-coding RNA (CCLE_LNC000916)". Lineage: Eukaryota; Viridiplantae; Streptophyta; Magnoliopsida; Sapindales; Rutaceae. The record is from RNAcentral.
AUAUAUAUGUCAUCAAUUGAAAGAACUAGGGCAAGUGUUUUUGUGCAUAGGGUUUCAUGUGAUACAUAUGAGAAAUGGAGAUAAGGUGUUUUCAGUUAACGUUUGGUGCGACAAAAAGAAUGAAGGAAAAAUAGAAAAGCUUAGUCUUGUUAAUUUAGUUCAACUUCUCACCUGCAUUACUUGCAUGGAUAAACAUGGCAAAAAAUUUAUUGCCAACCACUUUCUAGAUAUGCGUGGUUGUAUUUUGUGACUUUCUUGCCUAGAUGUUUUCACAUGGACUUGUAGAAAUUAUAUUCAAAGCCAUAUUCUAAGGGACGGAUACAAACAUUUUAAGAAGAAUAAUAUAUUAGUAUUUGUUUUAUUAUAUUUUGACAGUAUAAUAUAUCAUUUGAUCGAUCAACAAUUAAAUGUGCAAUGGUAUAGUCCAAAUUCUUUGUGAAAACAUAUUUUAUCCAAAGUGAAUCUAUAAAACAAUUCCAUUGUAGACUCUUAAUUGUUUGUGCACGUUUUCUUGUUAUGGUUAUUAAUUAAGCAAGCACUCUCUCUGGCUUGACAUGCACGCAAUCGUUCUUCUGUAACCAGUCCCAAAAUUGAGUACAAGGCUAACCAAAUAUAUAUAAUUAAGACAAAUAAAAAGUAGUCGAAGCAAUCUACCUCAAGCACAUUAUAAUUUAAGGGCUCCUGCAUAAAUAAUUAAUGCACAUAUUUUGAUUUAAAUAUUCUUUUAAUCCUUAUAUUUUCGGAAAAUAUAUCAAAAUAUUUAUGCAGUUAAAUUUAUUACAUUCUUACUCUUACAUUUUCUUUCUUUUUACAAUAAUAUCCUUACAACAGUAUUAUUGACUUUACUUAAUUUAUCUAUAAAAACUUUAAUAAGCAAAUUAACCAAUAAUUAUUUAUGUACAAAUUAAGUAAAAUACAUAUCAAUGUGAAAGAAAUAGUGUUUUUUUCACUUGUACAAUAAUCUCACUAAUAAUUUUUUAUCAAUAAAUUAAUAUCCACCAACUUAAUACAAUUUUUAAUAUCCUGGAAACAAUCUUACUAGUAAUUAUUUAUAAAAAAUUAAUUUACUAAAUUAAGCUUAAAUAUAAAAUAAUAAUAUAAAAGUUUGUAUAAACUUUUAUGUUACUUUUAAAGUUAAUUUGAUAAUUUAUAAUUCUUUCUUUUCAUUAAUAUCCUAAGAAAAUUGUUGCAUAGGUGUUUGGGAAAGAAAUGGAAGGUUAAUAGGAAAAUGCUACUUGUCAAUAGUACUUAAUUAUGGAAAAGUCACCACAAGGAGGUUGGCUUAUAACGAGUAUACUAUAUAUUACAAUGGCAUUCGAAUUUCACCAUAUCAAGGGCAUAAAAGGCUAGAGAAAAUAUCCAAAAUAUUUGGCACGUGAAAUGUCCUUAUCGUUAAAAUGAACAGUGAUUCCUUAGCUAAAAAUGAGGAACUGAUUAGGAGAUAUUUUAUUGAAAAAGAGGGAGCAGCAAGCUGCCAUGCUUACAAAAAGCCAAAAAAUGGCUCAUCAAAAUAAUUGGGAUCAUUUGUCCUUAUCUGACACUCAAGCAAUCGCUUAUACCCUCUGCAGAGCAUAUUGUACCACUUAGCAUAUUCCAACACGUGUACAUGGACAAAUUGUGUAAAUGAUGCUAACUUAUUCUCCAAGCAUGCUCUAUACGUGCAAACUGUCACAAAUGCUAAAGGACAAGAAUAUCCUUGUGCAAAGAGAGAAAAGUGCCAAUGAAAUUACGCAAGUGGCAUGAUGACCGGAAUAUCUCAGGGCACUACAUAUAAAGAUGCUCAGGUUUUCUCUUUCUAACUUAGCAAUUUUAAGCACUAAACAUUAAAAAAAAAAAAAAAGGUGAAGGCUCUUCUUCUACCUUGAGCCAACACCAUUGCGGACUUGACUCUCAAAACAACACCAAACCCUUCCUAGCAACGUCAUUAUUUCCACUCUUUCUCAAGCUUUAUAAAAGGCAAUACAUCUUGAUUACACUAGGCACCACAAUCCUCUCAUUUAUAAAUUUAUUGUGUUUAGUUAGAUUUCUCUCUUUGUUUAAAAUCUUGUUAAAAGAAUUGGUGUCGUCUAGGUGAGGGGCAUACAAAAAGCCUCCACAACAAUUGCCAAACUAUUGUUGAGUGCGUUCACAUAAAGAUGGCACCAGACGUAACCUUUGAUGAUAUGGUGCAAGAUGUUGGGAAAAUAUGCUCUUUAAAAGCAUAUGUGUUUAUUUAAUUGUAAUAAACAAUUUUUUCUGAUUAAUAAAAUAAAUGAGGUAUUUUAUUCAAAUAUCUUAAUUGCAUUAAUAUUUGUAUUAAAGUCCAUUUAAUCAUAUU